CACACACACACACACAGUCACAGAGCAGACACACACACUGAUGAAGAACUGACCAACAUCUGAAACAGGAAGGACAGCAGACCUCCAGGAACAAACUCUGCAGAGAAAAGGUGUGUCUCUGCUAUGGAUCA
RNAcentral lists this long non-coding RNA (131 nucleotides) under Gouania willdenowi (blunt-snouted clingfish). RNAcentral's name for it is "lncRNA (ENSGWIG00000004322.1)". Lineage: Eukaryota; Metazoa; Chordata; Actinopteri; Blenniiformes; Gobiesocidae. The record is from RNAcentral.